GGCAGAGAUGCCUUGGUGCCUUCGGGAACGCUGAGACAGGUGCUGCAUGGCUGUCGUCAGCUCGUGUUGUGAAAUGUGGGUUAAGUCCCGNAACGAGCGCAACCCUUAUCCCUUUGUUGCCAGCGAUUCGGUCGGGAACUCAAAGGAGACUGCCGGUGAUAAACCGGAGGAAGGUGGGGAUGACGUCAAGUCAUCAUGGCCCUUACGAGUAGGGCUACACACGUGCUACAAUGGCGCAUACAAAGAGAAGCGACCUCGCGAGAGCAAGCGGACCUCAUAAAGUGCGUCGUAGUCCGGAUCGGAGUCUGCAACUCGACUCCGUGAAGUCGGAAUCGCUAGUAAUCGUGGAUCAGAAUGCCACGGUGAAUACGUUCCCGGGCCUUGUACACACCGCCCGUCACACCAUGGGAGUGGGUUGCAAAAGAAGUAGGUAGCUUAACCCUCGGGAGGGCGCUUACCACUUUGUGAUUCAUGACUGGGGUGAAGUCGUAACAAGGUAGGCGUAGCGAG
This 510-nucleotide ribosomal RNA is filed under the name uncultured bacterium. RNAcentral describes it as "bacterial SSU rRNA". It matches the Rfam family "Bacterial small subunit ribosomal RNA", at positions 999 to 1509 of the family's 1533-position model. The record is from RNAcentral.